RNAcentral lists this non-coding RNA (97 nucleotides) under Rhizobium sp. Its description in RNAcentral is "TPP sequence". It matches the Rfam family "TPP riboswitch aptamer (THI element)". From Rfam's summary of the family: Vitamin B(1) in its active form thiamin pyrophosphate (TPP) is an essential coenzyme that is synthesised by coupling of pyrimidine and thiazole moieties in bacteria. RNAcentral also lists the same sequence under 1 other name. Lineage: Bacteria; Pseudomonadati; Pseudomonadota; Alphaproteobacteria; Hyphomicrobiales; Rhizobiaceae. The record is from RNAcentral.
GGCGAAAGACAGGGGCGUCUGGCGAAAGCCGGGCUGAGAAGCACCCUUUGAACCUGAACCAGAUCAUGCUGGCGGAGGGAGUCGUUUCGGCCUGUCG